CUGGCUAAUGCCGAAUACGACCACCGAAGGCAUCUUCUGGUGGUGGAAAGCUCCGGCGGAGAGGGAUGGGCUCGCGGCCUAUCAGCUAGUUGGUGAGGUAAUGGCUCACCAAGGCAACGACGGGUAGCCGGCCUGAGAGGGUGACCGGCCACACUGGGACUGAGACACGGCCCAGACUCCUACGGGAGGCAGCAGUGGGGAAUAUUGGACAAUGGGCGAAAGCCUGAUCCAGCAACGCCGCGUGAGGGAUGACGGCCUUCGGGUUGUAAACCUCUUUCAGUAGGGACGAAGCGAAAGUGACGGUACCUACAGAAGAAGGACCGGCCAACUACGUGCCAGCAGCCGCGGUAAUACGUAGGGUCCGAGCGUUGUCCGGAAUUAUUGGGCGUAAAGGGCUCGUAGGCGGUUUGUCGCGUCGGGAGUGAAAACUCAGGGCUCAACCCUGAGCGUGCUUCCGAUACGGGCAAACUAGAGGUAUGCAGGGGAGAAUGGAAUUCCUGGUGUAGCGGUGGAAUGCGCAGAUAUCAGGAGGAACACCGGUGGCGAAGGCGGUUCUCUGGGCAUUACCUGACGCUGAGGAGCGAAAGCAUGGGGAGCGAACAGGAUUAGAUACCCUGGUAGUCCAUGCCGUAAACGUUGGGCG
RNAcentral lists this ribosomal RNA (643 nucleotides) under Aeromicrobium sp. RNAcentral's name for it is "bacterial SSU rRNA". It matches the Rfam family "Bacterial small subunit ribosomal RNA", at positions 159 to 815 of the family's 1533-position model. The record is from RNAcentral. Lineage: Bacteria; Bacillati; Actinomycetota; Actinomycetes; Propionibacteriales; Nocardioidaceae.